RNAcentral lists this ribosomal RNA (253 nucleotides) under uncultured bacterium. RNAcentral describes it as "partial 16S ribosomal RNA". It matches the Rfam family "Bacterial small subunit ribosomal RNA", at positions 524 to 776 of the family's 1533-position model. The record is from RNAcentral.
UACGUAGGGUGCAAGCGUUGUCCGGAAUUAUUGGGCGUAAAGAGCUCGUAGGCGGCUUGUCGCGUCGUCCGUGAAAACCUGCGGCUCAACUGCAGGCUGGCGGUCGAUACGGGCAGGCUGGAGUUCGGUAGGGGAGACUGGAAUUCCUGGUGUAGCGGUGAAAUGCGCAGAUAUCAGGAGGAACACCGGUGGCGAAGGCGGGUCUCUGGGCCGAUACUGACGCUGAUGAGCGAAAGCUAGGGGAGCAAACGGG